GAAGAAUUAGGGUUCGAUUUCGGAGAGGGAGCAUGAGAAACGGCUACCACAUCUAAGGAAGGCGGCAGGCGCGUAAAUUACCCAAUCCUGACUCAGGGAGGUAGUGACAAGAAAUAGCAAACCGGGAACCUCAUGGUUUCACGGUAUUGCAAUGAGAACAAUUUAAAACCCUUAGCGAGAAUCAAGUGGAGGACAAGUCUGGUGCCAGCACCCGCGGUAAUUCCAGCUCCACUAGCGUAUAUUAAAGUUGUUGCAGUUAAAAGGCUCGUAGUUGAACCUCUGUCUGGGGCUAGUUUUGGCUUUGGUCAGGCUAGUUCUAGGCAUCCGCCUACAAGACUUAGAGGGCAUUCAGUUGUUCACUAGGAGGAGUAGGCAUUUUACUUUGAAAAAAUUAGAGUGUUUAAGGCAGGCAAUCGCCCGCAUAUAUUAGCAUGGAAUAAUAGAAUAGGACACUUUUCCAUUUCGUUGGUUAUUGGAAUCGUGUAAUGAUUAAUAGGGACAGAUGAGGGCAUUUGUAUUUAAUUGUCAGAGGUGAAAUUCUUGGAUUUAUUAAAGACGAACUAACGCGAAAGCAUUUGCCAAGGAUGUUUUCAUUAAUCAAGAACGAAAGUUAGGGGAUCAAAGACGAUCAGAUACCGUCCUAGUCUUAACUAUAAACUAUUCCGACUCAAUGUUUGACUGGCUUAUAUAACCAGUUGAGCGUUGUAUGAGAAAUCAAAGUCUUAGGUUCUGGGGGGAGUACGGUUGCAAAGCUGAAACUUAAAGGAAUUGACGGAAGAGCACAACCAGGAGUGGAUUCUGCGGCUUAAUUUGACUCAACACGGGGAAACUUACCAGGUUAAAAUAAUAGUGGGAUUGACAGUUUGAGAGCGCUUUCUUGAUUGGUUGGGUGGUGGUGCAUGGCCGUUCUUAGUUGGUGGAGUGAUUUGUCUGCUUAAUUGCGUUAACGAACGAGACCUUAACCUGCUUACUAGACUGGCGAUCAUCAAUCGUUAGCUCUUCUUAGAGGGACUUUGGUUGUUUUAACUCCAAGGAAGUUUGAGGCAAUAACAGGUCUGUGAUGCCCUUAGAUAUCCUGGGCCGCACGCGUCAUACAAUGACUAGUUCAGAAAGUUUUCUCCUGACCCGAAAGGGGAUGGGUAAUCUUGAUAAUACUAGUCGUGUUAGGGAUCGAUCUUUGCGAUUAUAGAUCUUGAACGAGGAAUUCCUAGUAAGUGCGGUUCAUCAGACCGUACUGAUUACGUCCCUGCUCUUUGUACACACCGCCCGUCGCUUCUACCGAGUGGGUGGUCCGGUGAGAUAAUUGAACUUCGCAGGUAACUGAGAGGAAAGAUUAUCAAACCUAUCCACCUCGAGGAAGAAGAAGUCGUAACAAGGUU
This 1379-nucleotide ribosomal RNA is filed under the name metagenome. RNAcentral describes it as "SSU rRNA". It matches the Rfam family "Eukaryotic small subunit ribosomal RNA", at positions 364 to 1801 of the family's 1831-position model. The record is from RNAcentral.